Molecule: ribosomal RNA, 156 nt
Filed under: Dactylella huisuniana
Lineage: Eukaryota; Fungi; Ascomycota; Orbiliomycetes; Orbiliales; Orbiliaceae
Description: 5.8S ribosomal RNA
Rfam family: 5.8S ribosomal RNA
About the family: 5.8S ribosomal RNA (5.8S rRNA) is a component of the large subunit of the eukaryotic ribosome.
Source: RNAcentral
AACUUUCAACAACGGAUCUCUUGGUUCCCACAUCGAUGAAGAACGCAGCGAAACGCGAUAGUUAUUGUGAAUUGCAGAAUUCAGUGAAUCAUCGAGUCUUUGAACGCACAUUGCGCCCAUUGGUAUUCCAUUGGGCAUGUCUGUUUGAGCGUCAUU